This 358-nucleotide ribosomal RNA is filed under the name Providencia rettgeri. RNAcentral's name for it is "partial 23S ribosomal RNA". It matches the Rfam family "Bacterial large subunit ribosomal RNA", at positions 1 to 386 of the family's 2925-position model. The record is from RNAcentral. Lineage: Bacteria; Pseudomonadati; Pseudomonadota; Gammaproteobacteria; Enterobacterales; Morganellaceae. RNAcentral also lists the same sequence under 1 other name.
GGGUUGUGAGGUUAAGCGACUAAGCGUACACGGUGGAUGCCUAGGCAAUCAGAGGCGAUGAAGGACGUGCUAAUCUGCGAUAAGCGUCGGUAAGGUGAUAUGAACCGUUAUACCCGACGAUUUCCGAAUGGGGAAACCCAGUGCAAUUCGUUGCACUAUCGUUUGAUGAAUACAUAGUCAAACGAAGCGAACCGGGGGAACUGAAACAUCUCAGUACCCCGAGGAAAAGAAAUCAACCGAGAUUCCCCUAGUAGCGGCGAGCGAACGGGGAGCAGCCCAGAGUCUUAAUCAGCAUUAGUAUCAGGAGAACGGUCUGGAAAGUCCGGCAGUAAAGGGUGAUAGCCCCGUAUCUGAAGAU